Molecule: long non-coding RNA, 390 nt
Filed under: Parus major (Great Tit)
Lineage: Eukaryota; Metazoa; Chordata; Aves; Passeriformes; Paridae
Description: lncRNA (ENSPMJG00000016318.1)
Source: RNAcentral
UGGAUUUGGUGCUUAUAGAAGUAGCAUUGGUUCUGACAGUGGAAGCUUUUUUCCUUCAAUACUUUCAAUUUCCAAGGGGCUCAUUCCCCACAGGCAAUGCCACUAUUGAGUGAAAGCAUCAUUCAAGCUCACAUAGUCACAGAUUUUCAGCUGGGAGAUAAAAGACUCCAUGCAAGACAAAUGGUAGGAGGACAUCAAACAAGACUGUGUCCAUGCAGUGACAGAAGCAAUCCAAUUGAAGAAGCUGUUGAUUUCUACAAGGAAAUUAUACGUGCAGAAUAUCAUCUGUGCAGAACCACAUGGUUUUCCUGAACAUCCAUAUGUGCACUGUACCUUGAACGUGAGGAAUGUAAGGAGAAUAAAGUCAGGUACUUUCUGAAUUCUUUUUCA